GCUGCUCCUGCCUAAGGCGAGACGAGGAGGACGGCCAGGAGGGCGAUGGAGAUGAGCAGGAUCUGCAAGUUAUUUCGGCGCCAGUGCAACACCAAGAGAGAAGAUUGCACACACUCAGACCUCCCUGGAGGCCCAGAGCAUGUCUUCCAGUCACUAUCCCCCCAGGAAAUUUCUGAGUGAGAGCUGGAACAUGAAAGAAAGGAGGAAGAGUUAGGGAAAAGAUAAUGCAAGGGAACCUGAGGAAGGUGAAGAACAAGGUGCAAAGAGGAUGUAGGUCUUUACUAGUGAUCAGAAGCAUGCUCAUGAGAAGAAACUGCUCAUUUGGUGCUUCUUUCCUCUUCUCCUUCACCAAGAUUUUAUUUCAAAAUUUUUCUUUUUCCCAGAUGUUGUCUACUUUUUCCUAGCUAUUUU
Molecule: long non-coding RNA, 411 nt
Organism: Poecile atricapillus (Black-capped chickadee)
Lineage: Eukaryota; Metazoa; Chordata; Aves; Passeriformes; Paridae
Exons: 3
Source: RefSeq, a predicted model, not a curated record